RNAcentral lists this long non-coding RNA (252 nucleotides) under Ananas comosus (pineapple). RNAcentral's name for it is "long non-coding RNA (ACOM_LNC037505)". Lineage: Eukaryota; Viridiplantae; Streptophyta; Magnoliopsida; Poales; Bromeliaceae. The record is from RNAcentral.
AAACUAAGUUUACAUACAAAUAAAAUUUCAAAUCAAACUAUAAAAAUAUCACCGAUCGUCCUUAGUGCAAGUAGCAAAGAGCUUGAUGAUUAGCACCUGUAGUUUUCAGUUCGAAUACUAAUUACUUUAUAGUUUAAUUUAUUUAUAAAAGAAAUGAAUAAAAUGGAUAACAUGCUAUUUUUCUCUCCCGCAAAAAAAAAAAAUAUGAUCAUAAAAGUGUCUAAGGAGCUUAGAUAAUAUUGCAUAGAUAUU